CUCAUUAAAUCAGUUAUAGUUUAUUUGAUGGUCUCUUUUGUCUUUUUUUACCUACUUGGAUAACCGUGGUAAUUCUAGAGCUAAUACAUGCGCAAGGUCCCGAGCGCGGGGGGGCAGGGCUUCACGGCCCUGUCCUCGCAUGCGCAGAGGGAUGUAUUUAUUAGGUUAAAAACCAGCGGCAGGGGUCAGCAAUGGCCCCUGCCAAACACUCCUGGUGAUUCAUAGUAACUCUUUCGGAUCGCAUUCAUG
RNAcentral lists this ribosomal RNA (249 nucleotides) under uncultured Acanthamoeba. RNAcentral describes it as "partial 18S ribosomal RNA". It matches the Rfam family "Eukaryotic small subunit ribosomal RNA", at positions 97 to 279 of the family's 1831-position model. The record is from RNAcentral. Lineage: Eukaryota; Discosea; Longamoebia; Acanthamoebidae.